GUGCUUGCUUCGGCAGCACAUAUACUAAAAUUGGAGUGAUACAGAGAAGAUUAGCAUGACCCCUGCGCAAGGAUGACACACAAAUUCAUGAAGCGUUCCAUAUUUUU
Molecule: small nuclear RNA, 107 nt
Organism: Otolemur garnettii (small-eared galago)
Lineage: Eukaryota; Metazoa; Chordata; Mammalia; Primates; Galagidae
Source: Ensembl